Triticum aestivum (bread wheat) is the source of this 110-nucleotide non-coding RNA. The record is from Rfam. Lineage: Eukaryota; Viridiplantae; Streptophyta; Magnoliopsida; Poales; Poaceae.
CAGGUACUCCCUUCGUUCGGAUUUACUUGUUAUAGAAAUGGAUGUAUCUAAAAGUACUUUUAGAUACAUCCAUUUUUACGACAAGUAAGUUCGAACGGAGGGAGUAGCUG